CUCGCUGCUCCCCGCCGCGCCGGACGAGUGAGGCUGUCGGGGUGUGUCCCCGUGUCCGUGUUACUGAGAAGCGAAGCUGCUCUUCUUCCGCCCCCUCUCUCCCUGCCAGGGCACGAGGCUGAAGCCGGAGCCCGCUCUGAAGGAGCCGGUUUGAGGCUCGGGCUGCGGGUCUAGACCUGCCCCUGCUCGAGCCCCCUCGGGACACCGCAGACGCACCCUGAGCCGUCCUCACGCGCCAAGGGCCCGGCGGGGCACGCGGCUGUCACACGGGGGGGGCUCUCGUGUCUGGUGAACGGCGGUCGCACACCUGGCGCGCCAGCGUGCGGCACCCACGAGAGGACCUGGAGGCCCCCGACGCCCCGGCCGAGGAUCCCUGCGUCGGUGCCCGGGCGGAGCAUAAAUAGCAACCAAAAACAGAUUGCAAAAAGGCUCUUCCUAUCCUGUCUAAUCAGUGGUGUGGAUUGCGCUGGUGGUGAGCAUAUGUUCCAAUAAUGCCUCGACUUCACCCUUCCUUGAGGUUCAGGACCUUUGUGCCAGUGGAAUUAGCAUCUUUCUCCAGAACACGAGCGCCAUAUAAAUGCCACAAAGCUGCUAUCAUAUCAUAGGACAGAUACAGUAAUCCUGCACAUGAAAACAAAGAACAAGAACUUUAUUGCAAGGAGAUAUGCCAGCGUUACCAGGCUCUUGAAUGUGAUCAACUGAAGAUACAACUGGGAUAUGCUGUUUUGCUAAUCUCCCUUCUAAACUGUUUCAGGUAAUGUUUCUAGAUCCGUUAAUCUAAAAAUUCCAGGCUACCUUUGCACUUAGUUGCAAGCACACUGGAAGUAGUGAACUUUGUUCAGUUCAUUCUGUUCAGGUUUCCUUGUAAAGUGGAAUUUUAAACUGAAUAAAUAAAGCUCUCUUGCUUACCUUG
Molecule: long non-coding RNA, 913 nt
Organism: Alligator sinensis (Chinese alligator)
Lineage: Eukaryota; Metazoa; Chordata; Crocodylia; Alligatoridae
Exons: 5
Source: RefSeq, a predicted model, not a curated record